RNAcentral lists this small nuclear RNA (18 nucleotides) under Arabidopsis thaliana (thale cress). RNAcentral's name for it is "snRNA_03749". The record is from RNAcentral. Lineage: Eukaryota; Viridiplantae; Streptophyta; Magnoliopsida; Brassicales; Brassicaceae.
GCGUCCUGGUCGGAUGCG